CAAGGAAACUCAUCUAAAGUGUUACUUUUCCUUGGAUCAAAUCUAAGGAGGUAAAUACUUUCGAUGUCUUACUCAUCAACUUACAUUUCUUGAAUUCUUUGAAACAUUUUACAAAGUAUUCGGACUUGUGUUUAUUCAAAAAUAAACUAUAGUCCAACCGAGAGUGAUCUUCGGUGAAUGUCAUCCAACAUGAGUAGUAUUAUGUUGUGGACAAGUGCCACUAACAUCUAAGUGAAUUAACCUCAACAACUUUGUGAUUCUUUCUUCUUUCCAAAAAGAAUAAAGAUUCGAACAUUUCGCCUCUAUACAAUUUUAACAAGAAGGUAUUGGAUCCAGAUCUAACGAUCCAAAGCAUCCAUCUAUGACCAACUCGUAAUUUAUGUUUUAGAGGUAUCACAACUCAGUUGGGAUUAGUCACUAUCUUGCAACCUUUUGGGUUUUAAGCAUCAUUAUAUUCUAAACAGUUAACAAUACCAUAUCAUCUCUACUAUAGAGACAAUCAAUUAGAUUACUAUAAUCCAAUCAUUGAUUAAUAAAGAACAAUGUUUUGUCAAACAAAACAUUCAUCCAUCUCUACUAUAGUGACGGAAUUAAGUUCCUUAAAAUUGGAA
RNAcentral lists this long non-coding RNA (611 nucleotides) under Malus domestica (apple). RNAcentral's name for it is "long non-coding RNA (MDOM_LNC008502)". Lineage: Eukaryota; Viridiplantae; Streptophyta; Magnoliopsida; Rosales; Rosaceae. The record is from RNAcentral.